Molecule: ribosomal RNA, 740 nt
Filed under: cyanobacterium enrichment culture clone 4_4_4.2.6_D08-T7
Lineage: Bacteria; Bacillati; Cyanobacteriota
Description: bacterial SSU rRNA
Rfam family: Bacterial small subunit ribosomal RNA
Source: RNAcentral
AGAGUUUGAUCCUGGCUCAGGAUGAACGCUGGCGGUCUGCUUAACACAUGCAAGUCGAACGGGCUCUUCGGAGCUAGUGGCGGACGGGUGAGUAACGCGUGAGGAUCUGCCCUUAGGACGGGGACAACAGCUGGAAACGGCUGCUAAUACCCGAUGUGCCGAGAGGUGAAACUAUUUGGCCUGAGGAUGAGCUCGCGUCUGAUUAGCUAGUUGGAGUGGUAACGGCACACCAAGGCGACGAUCAGUAGCUGGUCUGAGAGGAUGAUCAGCCACACUGGGACUGAGACACGGCCCAGACUCCUACGGGAGGCAGCAGUGGGGAAUUUUCCGCAAUGGGCGAAAGCCUGACGGAGCAAGACCGCGUGCGGGAGGAAGGUCUAUUGAUUGUAAACCGCUUUUGAUAGGGAAGAAGAUCUGACGGUACCUAUCGAAUCAGCAUCGGCUAACUCCGUGCCAGCAGCCGCGGUAAUACGGGGGAUGCAAGCGUUAUCCGGAAUUAUUGGGCGUAAAGCGUCCGUAGGUGGUUUUAAAAGUCUGUUGUCAAAUCGCGAGGCCUAACCUCGUACAGGCAGUGGAAACUAUAAGACUAGAGUGCGGUAGGGGUAGAGGGAAUUUCCAGUGUAGCGGUGAAAUGCGUAGAUAUUGGAAAGAACACCGGUGGCGAAGGCGCUCUACUGGGCCUGCACUGACACUGAGGGACGAAAGCUAGGGGAGCGAAAGGGAUUAGAUACCCCUGUAGU